This is an RNA transcript of Triticum dicoccoides, 2311 nucleotides long. RefSeq lists it as uncharacterized. NCBI's taxonomy places the organism in Eukaryota, Viridiplantae, Streptophyta, Magnoliopsida, Poales, Poaceae. The transcript has 3 exons. The record is from RefSeq and is a predicted model, not a curated record.
AGCCUCCAUGCGGCUCGACUCUACUUCCCCAUCUUCCGUCGGCCCGAGCCAUCCGGUCCUCCCUUCCUGCCCCUAGCCGAACUCCUCCGCUUUCCCCCAAAUCAGAAUCUCGGCACGCCAUGACCUCCUCUUACCGGCCGGCCGCCACGACGAGCCCGGAGGCGACGGCGCCAGUACCCAAGGUGGAGGCCGAGGCGGCGGCGACGGCGGCCCGAAACCCUAGCUCCCCCAGCGGCCCGCCGUCGCCGGAGAUGGAGGCCACGGCGGAGGCGCUCACGCGGGAGGAGGUGCUACGCAGGAGGCGCCGACGCACGGCGCGGCUCGUUGGCGUGUACCGACGGCUGUACUGGGCGAUGGCAGAGGAGGUGCGCGCGCGGCACCGGCAGUACGUCUGGGAGCUCGGCCGCAGUCCGCUCGAGGCCGAGCAGCCCCCGUCGGCCGCGUGCUCGGAGGCGAAGCCUGGGCCGGUGGCGGUGCCGAGGAGGAAGAAGUGUGGGUUCACGGGCUGCAAGGUGCGGGCGAUGCCUAUGGCCAAGUACUGCCACUCCCACAUCCUAUCCGAUCCCAAUCAGGCCCUGUACAAGGGAUGUGGUCAAAUCAUCAAGAGUGGUGCACAGAUUGGGCAAAUUACUUGCAGCAGGCCCAUCCUAAAAGCUUCAGUUCCCUCCCUCUGCAAUGUUCACUUGCAAAGAUCUCAGAAGAACAUAUCACAGGCUUAUAAGAAAGUUGGAUUUAAUCCACCCCCUACUGGCCAGAUCUCCCCAGAUUUUAGUGUCUUAGUUGCUGAAUGUGUCCGGCAGAUCCAGGCCAGGAGGAGAGAAUCCCGAAGUGUUGCAGCAGGGAAGAAAUGCCCCAAAGAUGGGAAAGUUGGCUGAGCUCCCUGAGAUCUCAUUUGUUACAUAAACUGUAGGAAAAUGUCAGGCAUCCUGAGGUUUACCGAGUGUUGAUAACUAACCCUGCGGGUUACUGCACUCUUCCUUGAAAGAUAUGGAAUAUUGAAAAUAUAUGUGGCCUGCAGCUGUGCAUGACUGGAUGACAACAUGACCCUGAUGGUUGUCAGUUAACAGCAAAUUUCAUAUGAAGAGUUUAUCCAACGAGCUAGUGGUGGAGUGUCAAGUAUCAAGGUUGAGCACACAUGUCAGGAGAGCAUUUAUGUAUCAAAAUGCUUCUGAUGACUUGCACACAUGUCAAGUAUCAAAAUGCACACAUGUCAGGAGAGCAUUUAUGUAUCAAAAUGCUUCUGAUGACUUGCUGAACAUGCUGCAGGACUGCCAUGGUUAAUUUUAUUCAUCUUCUGAUGGUAAUUUAUCCUAAAUGAAGGCCUGAGUUAGAUAUACUGGGUCGGUUCAUUGCCAACUGCCGAUUUUGAAGAACAUGAUGAAAUCUUCACCUUGUUUACGGCACAUACUUCUCCAGAAAGGAUUGAGAUUGUUGCUUUGUGCCAAGGAUGCUAUGGGGACGGUGGUUUUGUGCCAAUCCUGAAGGAGCCAUUCAAAUAAGGUACUAUGAGGAGAGAAUAGCAUGUACAUGUUGAUGCUUAUGACAUGGAUGAGGAGAGGGCAUGUACAUGUUGAUGUUUACUUUUGCCUGAUUUAGUUGGAAUGGUUGCAUUGUACGAAAGAUGGUCCACAUAGAGGACCCUGCAAGCAGUAUGAUAUGUCGCUGCAUUGCUGAUAUUGAUGCAAGGGAGGAGCUGUACAUACAAAGGAUAGUUGCCUGGUACUGCAAUCAAAUUUCGUAGUAUCUUCGUUGCAUGAAUAGUUACUUAUGAAGUAGCAGCAACACAUGAAUGUGCAUGCUUAAGCUUAUAUCAAAUGCUCUGAGAUAGAGGACAGGAUGUGGAUAUCGGCAGACAUUGGAUGGCCUGGAAGUACGACGUGACUAAGGAACUGACGCAAUUGUUCAUCUAAAAAAUGAGAACGGUAUUACUGGCCAUGUGAUUAGAGUAUGACAUUGCAUGUGUGCAUGUGUGGAUGGGAAAAAGGAAGAUAUUACAAACUGAUUUACAGACUAAACCAUUAGGGCCUUUCAUAUUCCAUUUUCAUUGAAGUUCAUCGUUAGUUUUGUAUCGUCAAGCUCUAAUCAUCGUUACUGAAGUUAACUAUGUUGAUAUCAAGUUGCCGUGUAGCAACUUUUGUUACCAAUGCGUAGUAACUUCCAUGAAAAAAGGGGGCAACUUUGAAGGUGAAAAAAGCUGUUGAAACAUAGCAAACAUGAGGUCCAGUAUUGAAGAUCAAUGUAAAUUCGAGCAACUCACUUUGUCGUUUCAGUAGUACUCCCUUUGUAAAGAAAUAUGAGAGUGUUUAGGUCA